GGGCUCGUGGUCUAGUUGGUUAUGACGUCGCCCUUACACGGCGGAGGUCAGGAGUUCGAAUCUCCUCGAGCCCA
This 74-nucleotide transfer RNA is filed under the name Methanolinea sp. Its description in RNAcentral is "tRNA-Val". It matches the Rfam family "tRNA". Rfam says of the family: Transfer RNA (tRNA) molecules are approximately 80 nucleotides in length. Their secondary structure includes four short double-helical elements and three loops (D, anti-codon, and T loops). Further hydrogen bonds mediate the characteristic L-shaped molecular structure. tRNAs have two regions of fundamental functional importance: the anti-codon, which is responsible for specific mRNA codon recognition, and the 3' end, to which the tRNAs corresponding amino acid is attached (by aminoacyl-tRNA synthetases). tRNAs cope with the degeneracy of the genetic code in two manners: having more than one tRNA (with a specific anti-codon) for a particular amino acid; and 'wobble' base-pairing, i.e. permitting non-standard base-pairing at the 3rd anti-codon position. The record is from RNAcentral. RNAcentral also lists the same sequence under 1 other name. Lineage: Archaea; Methanobacteriati; Methanobacteriota; Methanomicrobia; Methanomicrobiales; Methanoregulaceae.